CCUACGGGGGGCAGCAGUGAGGAAUAUUGGUCAAUGGACGAGAGUCUGAACCAGCCAAGUCGCGUGAAGGAUGACUGCCCUAUGGGUUGUAAACUUCUUUUAUAUGGGAAUAAAAUGUUCCACGUGUGGGAUUUUGUAUGUACCAUAUGAAUAAGGAUCGGCUAACUCCGUGCCAGCAGCCGCGGUAAUACGGAGGAUCCGAGCGUUAUCCGGAUUUAUUGGGUUUAAAGGGAGCGUAGGUGGAUUGUUAAGUCAGUGGGGAAAGUUUGCGGCUCAACCGUAAAAGUGCAGUUGAAACUGGCAGUCUUGAGUACAGGAGAGGUGGGCGGAAUUCGUGGUGUAGCGGUGAAAUGCUUAGAUAUCACGAAGAACCCCGAUUGCGAAGGCAGCUCACUGGAUUGCAACUGACACUGAGGCUCGAAAGUGUGGGUAUCAAACAGGAUUAGAUACCCCAGUAGUC
RNAcentral lists this ribosomal RNA (460 nucleotides) under uncultured bacterium. RNAcentral's name for it is "partial 16S ribosomal RNA". It matches the Rfam family "Bacterial small subunit ribosomal RNA", at positions 338 to 795 of the family's 1533-position model. The record is from RNAcentral.